AUAAGCCACGCCCACUCCAUACAAGUAAUGCUCAUUCCCCUAGGCCACGCCCACUCAAAUCAAGCCACGCCCCCAGCGCUUAAAUAUCCAUCCAGGCCAUGCCCAUUCAAUUUAAGCCACGCCCAUUCCAUUCAAGCCCCGCCCACUCAAAUCAAGCCCCGCCCACAGCGCUUAAAUAUCCAUCCAGGCCAUGCCCAUUCCAUUUAAGCCACGCCCAUUCCGUUUAAGCCACACCCACUCCAUCCAAGCCCCGCCCAUGUGUGUUUGGGUCUGCCCAUCUCAUUCAAGCCCCGCCCACAUCGAUGUAGCCACGCCCACUCCAUUCAAACCCCACCCACGCAUCUUUGGCCCCGCCCAUUUUUUGGGGCUUUCAGUGGCUCCCAGUUCAUCCCAGUAACCCCAAAUCCCCUCCCAGUUCAUCCCAGUAUAAACCAGUUUGAUCCCAGUCCCUCCCGGUAUAACCCAAAUCCUCCCAGUUUGUCCCAGUUUGAUCCCCGUCCCCUCCCUGUAUAAACCAGUAACCCAAAACCCCCUCCCAGUUCAUCCCAGUAUAACCCAGUAUAUCCCAGUUUGCUCCCAGUCCCUCCCAGUAUAACCCAGUUCCCUCCGAGUCUCUCCCAGUCCCUCCCAGUUUGAUCCCAGUAUAACCCAGUUUGUCCCAGUUUGCUCCCAGUCCCUCCCAGUAUGGCCCAGUUCCCUCCCAGUUCAUCCCAGUAACUCCCAGUAUAACCCAGUUCCUUCCCAGUAUAAACCAGGAACCCAAAAUCCCCUCCCAGUUCAUCCCAGUCCAUCCCAGUAUAUCCCAGCCCCAUUCCCAGUCCAUCCCAGUAUAACCCAGUCCAUCCCAGUAUAUCCCAGUCCCUCCCGGUCCCAUUCCCAGUAUAUCCCAGUAUAACCCAGCCCCAUUCCCAGUAUACCCCAGUAUAACCCAGUCCCUCCCAGCCCCAUUCCCAGUAUAUCCCAGUCCAUCCCAGUCCCUCCCAGUCCAUCCCAGUAUAACCCAGUCCCUCCCAGCCCCAUUCCCAGUAUAUCCCAGUCCAUCCCAGUCCAUCCCAGUCCAUCCCAGUCCCUCCCAGUCCAUUCCCAGUCCAUUCCCAGUAUAUCCCAGUAUAACCCAGUCCCUCCCAGCCCCAUUCCCAGUAUAUCCCAGUAUAUCCCAGUAUAACCCAGUCCCUCCCACUCCAUUCCCAGUCCAUCCCAGUAUAACCCAGCCCCAUUCCCAGCCCCAUUCCCAGUCCAUCCCAGUAUAUCCCAGUAUUUCCCAGUAUAUCCCAGUCUAA
This 1280-nucleotide long non-coding RNA is filed under the name Zonotrichia albicollis (white-throated sparrow). RNAcentral's name for it is "lncRNA (ENSZALG00000002090.1)". Lineage: Eukaryota; Metazoa; Chordata; Aves; Passeriformes; Passerellidae. The record is from RNAcentral.